Molecule: long non-coding RNA, 947 nt
Organism: Cyprinus carpio carpio
Lineage: Eukaryota; Metazoa; Chordata; Actinopteri; Cypriniformes; Cyprinidae
Source: Ensembl
AUUUCAAUAAAUGUGCAAUUAUUUGUCAAUUGUUUCUCAGUUACAUUUUUAACAUUUCAAAUGAGGAAUAUAAUCUCACAUCAAUGGUAUCACAAAGUUAGCUGUUGAACAAAUCAAACCAGAAUUGAGUUUAUUAAAUUCAUUCACAAUAUGUGCACUCACAAAUAUUUGGUUUAGCUACAUAUAUUUUGCAUUUCAUAACUGAGGAGUCAAGUUUUUUUUUUUUUUUUAACAUUUAGUGCCUGUGAACAUAAACCCUGUCUACUUUGAUUUGAUUGGCCAUCACAAGCACUUUGACAUUGAUGAGCGCUGUAAGACCGCUGAGACAUCUCAUAUGAGAAGAUCUAUCUUGGCUUUGUAUCCUUGCAGCACCAGAGCAGAAUUGAUAUAUGUGAUGUAGUGUAUAUGGAGAAGAUGAGGGGUCCAAGGACUGAGCCCUGAGGAACCCCGGUGCCCAGUUGAUGUGCUUUGGAUACCUCCCCUCCCCAGGCCACCCCGAUAAUGAGAUGGGAUUCAAACCAGCGAAGUGAAAUCCCUGUGAUGCCCAGUGAUGAGAGGGCAGACAGGAGGAUCUGAUGAUUCAGUGUCAAAAGCAGCAGACAGAUCCAGCAGAAUGAGAAUGAUGAUUUGGAAUCAGCUUUCGCAAUCCUCAAGUGUUUGCGCUAUGACUGGAAGGAGAGAGAUAGGUCAGUAAUUAUCUAUAAGUAAAAAGUUACUUACAAAUUUACUUUUAAUGUCAAAAGUGUACACAAAAUAAAGUGUUACUCUGUAGUGUAUUCUACAUAAACAUUGUAAAGAAUGUUAUCUAUCUGAUUAAAUAUUUCAGACUAGAGUGAAACUUGCCAGCCAGCAUAACAACAUUAGUCAGUCCGUUGAGGAUUAAUUACCUCUGUGUUACUCAGCUAUGGGACAAAUCCUUCAUUGAGCCAAAUUAAUAUGUCAUGAUU